RNAcentral lists this ribosomal RNA (429 nucleotides) under Triticum aestivum (bread wheat). RNAcentral's name for it is "partial small subunit ribosomal RNA". Lineage: Eukaryota; Viridiplantae; Streptophyta; Magnoliopsida; Poales; Poaceae. The record is from RNAcentral.
AUGCAGUUCCACCUGGCUUCAGAGGUGGUGCUGCGCCUGGAUGUCGCACAGGAGAAGAGGCAGCUCACACGCAGUGAGUUCUGGCUGCGGAAAACACUGAAGCUGAAAAUCGUUGGUCUCACAGCCCUCGAGCGAGUCAGAAGGCGUCAGGCCUCGCGUAUCACUUGGUUGAAGGCGGGCGACGCGUCCACAACAUUCGUCCAGGCAAAACAAACUUCCAGGCGACAAAGAAACUUCAUCCAGUGCAUCCAGUCGGCUGGAGGUCUCAAGACUAGCCACACCGACAAGGCAGCCGUGGUGCACGAACACUUCUCCUCCUUGCUGGGGCAGAAAAGGAACCGGCCUCGCACGAUCAACUGGGAGGCACUGGAGUUACCAAGAUUGCAUGCGGGGGCUGGACUCGACAACCCCUUCUCGGAGGCUGAGGUU